GAGCCACGCCCCCUGGCUGAACCGUUGUCCAAUGAGAAGCCGAGGUCUCCAGGUGGCCGAGGCCGUCGUCCAAUCAGGAUCUUCGGCACCCACGACGGCCGAGCCCCUCGUCCAAUGGCAAGGAGCCGCCCCAAGGGGCCAUCCAAUCAGCUGGCUGCCCAAAUCCAUCGGCCAAUCACAAGGGGCAGCGUUCCAGUUGGCCAAACCCAUCAGCCAAUCACAAGCCACGGCGUUGCAGGUCGCCAAACCCAUCGGCCAAUGACGGUUGGCCAAACCCCGCAGUCAACGUCUGAUUGGCCGAACCAUGAGCCAGCGGUGAGCCACGGCGUUCUGAUUGGCUAAACCCAUCAGUCGAUGACCAAUCGCGGCGCUCCAGUUGGCCAAACUGAUUGGACAACGUUCUUUUGGCCAAAUCUAUCAGCCAAUGACCAACCGAGGUGUCCCAGUUGGCCAAAUCCAGUGGCCAAUGAUGAAUCACGGCGUUCCAGUUGGCCAAACCCAUCAACCAGUGACAAACGAUGGUGUUCCAGUUGGCCAAACCCAUCAGCCAAUGACUAAAAAUGGUGUUCCCAACAGCCAAACCCAUCGCCCAAUGUUCUGUUGGCCAAAUCCAUCAACCGAUGUCCAACCACAGCAUCCCAGUUGGCUGAACCCAUCAACCAGUGACGAAUGAUGGCAUUCCAGUUGGCCAAACCCAUUGGACAAUGUUCCGUUGGCCAAACCCUUCAGUCAAUCACAAGCCACGGCGUACCAGUUGGCCAAAUCCAUCGGUCGAUGGCCAACCACAGCGUCCCAGUUGGCCAAACCCAUUGCCCAAUGUCCAGUUGACCAAACCUUUCAGUCCAUGACCAACCACAGUGUCCCAGUUGGCCAAACCCAUCAACCAAUAACCAAUCACGGCGUUCCAGUUGGCCAAACCCAUCAACCAAUGACGAUCAAUGGUGUUCCAGUUGGCCAAACCCAUCGCCCAAUGUUCCGUUGGCCAAACCCAUCAGUUGAAGACCAACCAGAUUGUUCCAGUUGGCCAAAUCCUUCAGUCAAUGACCAACCACGGUGUUCCAGUUGGCCAAAUCCAUCGCCCAAUGUUCCAUUGGCCAAACCCAUCAACUGAUGGCCAACCACAGCGUCCCAGUUGGCCGCCCCCACCAGCCAACAUCCAGUUGGCCACGCCAUCAUCCUGCCGACCAAGCACCGCUCUCCAGUUGCCCGAGCCCACCCCCCAGCGGCCCCCCUCACCCUGAUGUCACCGCCCCGAAGCCGGGCCGUCCCCCGGCAGCACCGAACCCCGGCUGCCGAGAGCGCGGGCGCCCACCCUGAGCGGUGCCGGGGCACGAUGGAGGGGGGUGGGCCGGGCGCCCGCCGCGCAACUCAAUGCACCAAGACCUUGAU
Molecule: long non-coding RNA, 1389 nt
Filed under: Anas platyrhynchos platyrhynchos (common mallard)
Lineage: Eukaryota; Metazoa; Chordata; Aves; Anseriformes; Anatidae
Description: lncRNA (ENSAPLG00000031254.1)
Source: RNAcentral